Oncorhynchus tshawytscha (Chinook salmon) is the source of this 297-nucleotide unclassified non-coding RNA. It matches the Rfam family "Metazoan signal recognition particle RNA". Rfam says of the family: The signal recognition particle (SRP) is a universally conserved ribonucleoprotein. It is involved in the co-translational targeting of proteins to membranes. Lineage: Eukaryota; Metazoa; Chordata; Actinopteri; Salmoniformes; Salmonidae. The record is from Ensembl.
GCUGGGUGUGGUGGCAUGUUCCUGUAAUCCAAGUCACUGGGAGGCUGAGGUUGGUGGAUCAAGUGAGCUGAGGAGCUCUGGGCUGCAGCACACUAUGUCUAACGGGUGUCCACGCUAAGUUCGGUAUCGAUAUGGUGUUCCUGGGGAGCCCGGGACCACCAGGUUGUCUAAGGAGGGGUGAACCGGCCCAGGUCGGAAACGAAGCAGGUCAAAUCCCCGUGCUGUCCAGUAGUGGGAUAAUACCUGUGAGUAGAUGCUGCAGUGCAGCCUUGGCAAAACAUUGAGACCUAAUCUUUG